RNAcentral lists this ribosomal RNA (460 nucleotides) under uncultured bacterium. RNAcentral describes it as "partial 16S ribosomal RNA". It matches the Rfam family "Bacterial small subunit ribosomal RNA", at positions 338 to 795 of the family's 1533-position model. The record is from RNAcentral.
CCUACGGGGGGCAGCAGUGAGGAAUAUUGGUCAAUGGACGAGAGUCUGAACCAGCCAAGUAGCGUGAAGGAUGACUGCCCUAUGGGUUGUAAACUUCUUUUAUAUGGGAAUAAAAUGUUCCACGUGUGGGAUUUUGUAUGUACCAUAUGAAUAAGGAUCGGCUAACUCCGUGCCAGCAGCCGCGGUAAUACGGAGGAUCCUAGCGUUAUCCGGAUUUAUUGGGUUUAAAGGGAGCGUAGGUGGAUUGUUAAGUCAGUUGUGAAAGUUUGCGGCUCAACCGUAAAAUUGCAGUUGAAACUGGCAGUCUUGAGUACAGUAGAGGUGGGCGGAAUUCGUGGUGUAGCGGUGAAAUGCUUAGAUAUCACGAAGAACUCCGAUUGCGAAGGCAGUUCACUGGACUGCAACUGACACUGAGGCUCGAAAGUGUGGGUAUCAAACAGGAUUAGAUACCCGAGUAGUC